GUUGGGAAUCCAUCGGACUUUGCCCGGGGAUGUUCAUUUGUUGUGCCAUCCAUCUUAGCAAUGACAAGUGAAUCGAUGCCACGUAGAUGUUUGGCAAGCUUGUUGUAAGUUGGUUCCAGUGCUUGGCAAUGCCCGCACCAAGGAGCAUAAAUCUCGAGGAGAACAUCCUUCGAUUCAUCUAACACAAUUUCCUCGAAGUUGUCUCCAACCACUAUUUUCACGUCACCAUCAUUAGUCUCAGGAAUGGGAUCCGACUUAUAAAAGGGUUUUAGCUUGUCUUCCAAGAAAUUUUCUCCAAAAGCCUUAAUAUUUUCCAAGGUAACUUCCUUAUCAAGCACAAAUUUCUUGCUGUCUUCAUUUCCA
RNAcentral lists this unclassified non-coding RNA (363 nucleotides) under Hevea brasiliensis (rubber tree). Lineage: Eukaryota; Viridiplantae; Streptophyta; Magnoliopsida; Malpighiales; Euphorbiaceae. The record is from RNAcentral.